AUGAUUUUUUUUAACUACAUUAAGAAAAUAUUACAACACUGGUAUUAUUUUCUCAAUAUGUAUGAAGAAAUUAAUAAACUCAAUCAAAAUUAUGGUUCCUCAGUGGGCACAGUCGUAACCAAGCUUUUUUUGGUUAUUGUUUGGAGACAUUUAUUAGUACUCCAAUCUCAUGGAAAUGACACGGUGACAAGGUGGUUUUCUUUGGUUGUGUGCACUUUUUAUACAGGGCAAGAAAAUCAAUACGAUAAGUCAUUAGCAAAAAAAAUCAAUAUGAUAAGUGUGCUAUCUUACAAAAAUAUAUCCUCAAGGCUCUUUCUAGAGCACGAGUUAAAUGUUUUUAGGUUCAGUUUUAGUUUCCCACGGAACCAAACUGUUCCUAAAAAAUAA
Molecule: ribosomal RNA, 387 nt
Filed under: Triticum aestivum (bread wheat)
Lineage: Eukaryota; Viridiplantae; Streptophyta; Magnoliopsida; Poales; Poaceae
Description: partial small subunit ribosomal RNA
Source: RNAcentral